AGGGCAUGCGGUGAAUGCCUAGGCGCUAAGAGCCGAUGAAGGACGCGGUAAGCUGCGAAAAGCCGUGCCGAGACGCAAGCAGUCAGUGACACACGGAUCUCCGAAUAGGAAAACCCCACUGGAGUAAUGUCCAGUGACCCUGUACUGAAUACAUAGGUAGAGGGAGGCAACCCGGGGAACUGAAACAUCUAAGUACCCGGAGGAAAAGAAAGAAAACUCGAUUCCCCCAGUAGCGGCGAGCGAAGCGGGAAGAGCCCAAACCAGUUUCGGCUGGGGUUCGGACACUCAUCACGUAAGGGAAGGUUAGUCGAAUGGCAUGGGAAGGCCAGCCACAGACGGUUAGAGCCCAGUAGACGAAAACCCGAACUUAUAGAGUGUAUCCAGAGUACCACGAAGCACGUGGAAUUUCGUGGGAACGCGCGGGGACCACCCCGUAAGGCUAAAUACUCCUUAGCGACCGAUAGAGCAUAGUACCGUGAGGGAAAGGUGAAAAGCACCUCGGAAGAGGAGUGAAAGAGAACCUGAAACCGCAUGCUUACAAUCAGUCACAGCUCCAUAAGAGAGUAGUGGCGUACUUUUUGUAGAACGGACCGGCGAGUUACGUUAACAAGCGAGGUUAAGGAAACGGAGCCAAAGCGAAAGCGAGUCUGAAUAGGGCGAAAGUUUGUUGACGUAGACCCGAAACCAGGUGAUCUACCCAUGAGCAGGUUGAAGCGUUGGUAAAACAACGUGGAGGACCGAACCAGGGAUCGUUGAAAAGAUCUUGGAUGACUUGUGGGUAGGGGUGAAAUUCCAAUCGAACCUGGAGAUAGCUGGUUCUCCUCGAAAUAGCUUUAGGGCUAGCCUUAUUUUGAGCUUAACGAAGGUAGAGCACUGAAUGGGUACGGGGGCUUCACCGCCUACCAAACCUUAUCAAACUCCGAAUGUCGUUAAGCAUGAAUAGGAGUCAGACCAUGGGGGAUAAGCUUCAUGGUCAAAAGGGAAAGAGCCCAGACCGCCGUCUAAGGUCCCAAAAUCAUUGUUAAGUGGAAAAGGAUGUGAAAUCGCUUAGACAACCAGGAUGUUGGCUUAGAAGCAGCCACUCAUUAAAAGAGUGCGUAAUAGCUCACUGGUCCAGGGGUUUUGCGCCGAAAAUGUAACGGGGCUCAAACAAUGUACCGAAGACGCGGAAUUACGAAUGUAAUUGGUAGAGGAGCGUUCUCAUUGGGGAGAAGCGAUACCGAGAGGAGUCGUGGACUAAUGAGAAGAGAGAAUGCCGGUAUAAGUACACGAUAAGGCAGGUGAGAAUCCUGCCCGCCGGAAGUCUAAGGGUUCCUGGGGAAGGCUCGUCCACCCAGGGUAAGUCGGGGCCUAAGGCAAGGCCGAAAGGCGUAGUCGAUGGGAAACAGGUAGAUAUUCCUGUACCACCGCUAUAUGAUGACGACGCAGUGACGCAGAAAGGUAGAGCGAGCGGCCAGUUGGUGAGCCGUUCAAGUGAGUAGGGUGUUUGGUAGGCAAAUCCGCCAAACGGAAGCCUGAGACACGAUGACGAGUGAAAAAUAGUAACGAAGUCCUUGAUCCUCCGCUGCCAAGAAAAGCUGCUAAGGAAUAUAGAGGUGCCCGUACCGCAAACCGACACAGGUAGACAGGUAGAGAAUACUAAGGCGCGCGAGAUAACUCUUGUUAAGGAACUCUGCAAAAUGAACCCGUAACUUCGGGAGAAGGGUUGCUGACCAUGGUGAGUAUGGACAAUACAGAGCUGAGGUCAGUCGCAGUGAAAAGGUCCAGGCGACUGUUUAGCAAAAACACAGGUCAUUGCAAAAUCGCAAGAUGAAGUAUAAUGGCUGACGCCUGCCCGGUGCUGGAAGGUUAAGGGGAAGAGUGCAAGCUUUGAACCGAAGCCCCAGUAAACGGCGGCCGUAACUAUAACGGUCCUAAGGUAGCGAAAUUCCUUGUCGGGUAAGUUCCGACCCGCACGAAAGGCGAAACGAUCUGGACGCUGUCUCAACAAGGGACUCGGUGAAAUUGAAAUUCCGGUAAAGAUGCCGGAUACCUGCGAUAGGACAGAAAGACCCCAUGGAGCUUUACUGUAGCCUGAUAUUGGGUUUCGGAUAUUCAUGUACAGGAUAGGUGGGAGACUGAGAAUCGAGGACGCCAGUUUUCGAGGAGUCAAUGUUGGGAUACCACCCUUAAAGUUUGGAAUUCUAACCAGGAGUCUUGAAGCAGAUUAUUGGA
Molecule: ribosomal RNA, 2214 nt
Filed under: human gut metagenome
Description: bacterial LSU rRNA
Rfam family: Bacterial large subunit ribosomal RNA
Source: RNAcentral